Molecule: ribosomal RNA, 238 nt
Filed under: uncultured bacterium
Lineage: Bacteria
Description: partial 16S ribosomal RNA
Rfam family: Bacterial small subunit ribosomal RNA
Source: RNAcentral
UGGCGAACGGGUGAGUAACGCGUGAGGAACCUGCCUCAUACAGGGGGAUAACAGUUAGAAAUGACUGCUAAUACCGCAUAAGACCACGGAGCCGCAUGGCUCAGUGGGAAAAACUCCGGUGGUAUGAGAUGGACCCGCGUCUGAUUAGGUAGUUGGUGGGGUAACGGCCUACCAAGUCAACGAUCAGUAGCCGACCUGAGAGGGUGACCGGCCACAUUGGGACUGAGACACGGCCCAA